CCCUUAGAUGUUCUGGGCUGCACGCGCGCUACACUGAAGGAGGCAGCGUGUACUCCUGGAUCGAAAGAUUUGGGUAACCCGCGAAUCUCCUUCGUGCUAGGGAUUGAGGUUUGCAAUUAUCCUUCAUGAACGAGGAAUUCCCAGUAAGUGCAAGUCAUAAGCUUGCGCUGACUACGUCCCUGCCCUUUGUACACACCGCCCGUCGCUACUACCGAUUGAAUGAUUUAGUGAGGACUUCGGACUGGGACCGAUGCGGCUUUCGGGCUGCGUCGGUAUUCUGGAAAGAUGUCCAAACUGUAUCAUUUAGAGGAAGUAAAANUCGUAACA
This 327-nucleotide ribosomal RNA is filed under the name uncultured eukaryote. RNAcentral describes it as "partial 18S ribosomal RNA". It matches the Rfam family "Eukaryotic small subunit ribosomal RNA", at positions 1470 to 1796 of the family's 1831-position model. The record is from RNAcentral.